UACGUAGGGUGCAAGCGUUGUCCGGAAUUAUUGGGCGUAAAGAGCUCGUAGGCGGCUAGUCGCGUCGGCUGUGAAAACCUGGGGCUCAACCCCGGGCCUGCAGCCGAUACGGGCUAGCUAGAAUUCGGUAGGGGAGACUGGAAUUCCUGGUGUAGCGGUGAAAUGCGCAGAUAUCGGGAAGAACACCCGUGGCGAAGGCGGCUCUCUGGGACGGUACUGACGCUGAGACGCGAAAGCGUGGGGAGCGAACAGG
This 253-nucleotide ribosomal RNA is filed under the name uncultured bacterium. RNAcentral's name for it is "partial 16S ribosomal RNA". It matches the Rfam family "Bacterial small subunit ribosomal RNA", at positions 524 to 776 of the family's 1533-position model. The record is from RNAcentral.